GGGAGGUAGUGACAAUAAAUAACAAUACAGGGUCCUUAUGGGUUUUGUAAUUGGAAUGAGUACAAUUUAAAUCUCUUAACGAGGAACAAUUGGAGGGCAAGUCUGGUGCCAGCAGCCGCGGUAAUUCCAGCUCCAAUAGCGUAUAUUAAAGUUGUUGCAGUUAAAAAGCUCGUAGUUGAAUUUCGGGGUUAGUAAGUUGGUCAUGCCUUCGGUAUGUACUGGCUUUACUGAUUCCUCCUUCUUGAAGAACUGUAAUGUCAUUAAUUUGGUGUUGCAGGGAAACAGGACUGUCACUUUGAAAAAUUAGAGUGUUUAAAGCAAGCUAACGCUUGAAUACAUUAGCAUGGAAUAAUGAAAUAGGACGUUUGAUUCUAUUUUGUUGGUUUCUAGGAUCGACGUAAUGAUUAAUAGGGAUAGUUGGG
This 422-nucleotide ribosomal RNA is filed under the name uncultured Glomeraceae. Its description in RNAcentral is "SSU rRNA". It matches the Rfam family "Eukaryotic small subunit ribosomal RNA", at positions 459 to 886 of the family's 1831-position model. The record is from RNAcentral. Lineage: Eukaryota; Fungi; Glomeromycota; Glomeromycetes; Glomerales; Glomeraceae.